AACGUAGGAGACAAACGUUAUCCGGAUUUACUGGGCGUAAAGGGCGUGUAGGCGGUUAGUUAAGUCUGGCGUGAAAGCUCUCGGCUAAACCGGGAGAGGUCGUUGGAUACUGGCUGACUAGAGGAAGGUAGAGGCGUGUGGAAUUCCCGGUGUAGUGGUGAAAUGCGUAGAGAUCCGGAGGAACACCAGUGGCGAAGGCGACACGCUGGGCCGUACCUGACGCUAAAGCGCGACAGCAUGGGGAGCAAACGGG
This 253-nucleotide ribosomal RNA is filed under the name uncultured bacterium. Its description in RNAcentral is "partial 16S ribosomal RNA". It matches the Rfam family "Bacterial small subunit ribosomal RNA", at positions 524 to 776 of the family's 1533-position model. The record is from RNAcentral.